GCCUUCGUGGUGUAAUGGUCAGCACACUGAGCCGGUAUUUCAGAGGUCCGCGGUUCGAUUCCCGGCAAAGGCA
Molecule: transfer RNA, 73 nt
Filed under: Stegodyphus mimosarum
Lineage: Eukaryota; Metazoa; Arthropoda; Arachnida; Araneae; Eresidae
Rfam family: tRNA
About the family: Transfer RNA (tRNA) molecules are approximately 80 nucleotides in length. Their secondary structure includes four short double-helical elements and three loops (D, anti-codon, and T loops).
Source: Rfam by way of RNAcentral